This 2369-nucleotide ribosomal RNA is filed under the name Salmonella enterica subsp. enterica serovar Typhi. RNAcentral's name for it is "bacterial LSU rRNA". The stretch from base 1 to 1659 matches the Rfam family "Bacterial large subunit ribosomal RNA". The record is from RNAcentral. Lineage: Bacteria; Pseudomonadati; Pseudomonadota; Gammaproteobacteria; Enterobacterales; Enterobacteriaceae.
UUAAGCGACUAAGCGUACACGGUGGAUGCCCUGGCAGUCAGAGGCGAUGAAGGGCGUGCUAAUCUGCGAUAAGCGCCGGUAAGGUGAUAUGAACCGUUAUAACCGGCGAUACCCGAAUGGGGAAACCCAGUGUGAUUCGUCACACUAUCAUUAACUGAAUCCAUAGGUUAAUGAGGCGAACCGGGGGAACUGAAACAUCUAAGUACCCCGAGGAAAAGAAAUCAACCGAGAUUCCCCCAGUAGCGGCGAGCGAACGGGGAGGAGCCCAGAGCCUGAAUCAGCAUGUGUGUUAGUGGAAGCGUCUGGAAAGGCGCGCGAUACAGGGUGACAGCCCCGUACACAAAAGCGCAUAUGCUGUGAGCUCGAUGAGUAGGGCGGGACACGUGGUAUCCUGUCUGAAUAUGGGGGGACCAUCCUCCAAGGCUAAAUACUCCUGACUGACCGAUAGUGAACCAGUACCGUGAGGGAAAGGCGAAAAGAACCCCGGCGAGGGGAGUGAAAAAGAACCUGAAACCGUGUACGUACAAGCAGUGGGAGCCCCACCACUAAGCCAGUGGUGAACUCCACAUACGCAUCCUUUGCUGAGGAGACGGUUAACGGAGCGAAAGCGACGUUCAACCUCAAAAGAAGCAGAGGGGGCUUAGUGGUGGGGUGACUGCGUACCUUUUGUAUAAUGGGUCAGCGACUUAUAUUCUGUAGCAAGGUUAACUGUAUAGGGGAGCCGGAGGGAAACCGAGUCUUAACCGGGCGUUAAGUUGCAGGGUAUAGACCCGAAACCCGGUGAUCUAGCCAUGGGCAGGUUGAAGGUUGGGUAACACUAACUGGAGGACCGAACCGACUAAUGUUGAAAAAUUAGCGGAUGACCUGUGGCUGGGGGUGAAAGGCCAAUCAAACCGGGAGAUAGCUGGUUCUCCCCGAAAGCUAUUUAGGUAGCGCCUCGUGAAUUCAUCUCCGGGGGUAGAGCACUGUUUCGGCUAGGGGGCCAUCCCGGCUUACCAACCCGAUGCAAACUGCGAAUACCGGAGAAUGUUAUCACGGGAGACACACGGCGGGUGCUAAUGUCCGUCGUGAAGAGGGAAACAACCCAGACCGCCAGCUAAGGUCCCAAAGUCAUGGUUAAGUGGGAAACGAUGUGGGAAGGCCCAGACAGCCAGGAUGUUGGCUUAGAAGCAGCCAUCAUUUAAAGAAAGCGUAAUAGCUCACUGGUCGAGUCGGCCUGCGCGGAAGAUGUAACGGGGCUAAACCAUGCACCGAAGCUGCGGCAGCGACACCGUGUGUUGUUGGGUAGGGGAGCGUUCUGUAAGCCUGUGAAGGUGUGCUGUGAGGCAUGCUGGAGGUAUCAGAAGUGCGAAUGCUGACAUAAGUAACGAUAAAGCGGGUGAAAAGCCCGCUCGCCGGAAGACCAAGGGUUCCUGUCCAACGUUAAUCGGGGCAGGGUGAGUCGACCCCUAAGGCGAGGCCGAAAGGCGUAGUCGAUGGGAAACGGGUUAAUANAAUUCGAUGCAACGCGAAGAACCUUACCUGGUCUUGACAUCCACAGAACUUUCCAGAGAUGGAUUGGUGCCUUCGGGAACUGUGAGACAGGUGCUGCAUGGCUGUCGUCAGCUCGUGUUGUGAAAUGUUGGGUUAAGUCCCGCAACGAGCGCAACCCUUAUCCUUUGUUGCCAGCGGUCCGGCCGGGAACUCAAAGGAGACUGCCAGUGAUAAACUGGAGGAAGGUGGGGAUGACGUCAAGUCAUCAUGGCCCUUACGACCAGGGCUACACACGUGCUACAAUGGCGCAUACAAAGAGAAGCGACCUCGCGAGAGCAAGCGGACCUCAUAAAGUGCGUCGUAGUCCGGAUUGGAGUCUGCAACUCGACUCCAUGAAGUCGGAAUCGCUAGUAAUCGUGGAUCAGAAUGCCACGGUGAAUACGUUCCCGGGCCUUGUACACACCGCCCGUCACACCAUGGGAGUGGGUUGCAAAAGAAGUAGGUAGCUUAACCUUCGGGGGGGCGCUUACCACUUUGUGAUUCAUGACUGGGGUGAAGUCGUAACAAGGUAACCGUAGGGGAACCUGCGGUUGGAUCACCUCCUUACCUUAAAGAAGCGUACUUUGCAGUGCUCACACAGAUUGUCUGAUGAAAAGUGAAUAGCAAGGCGUCUUGCGAAGCAGACUGAUACGUCCCCUUCGUCUAGAGGCCCAGGACACCGCCCUUUCACGGCGGUAACAGGGGUUCGAAUCCCCUAGGGGACGCCACUUGCGCGGUAAUGUGUGAAAGGCGUUGCCAUCAGUAUCUCAAAACUGACUUACGAGUCACGUUUGAGAUAUUUGCUCUUUAAAAAUCUGGAUCAAGCUGAAAAUUGAAACACAGAACAACGAAAGUUG